UCCAUGCCUAAUGAGAUAGGGCCGGCUGGAAUUCGAUGAGUACGUACGUGGAUGAAGGUAGCUGCUGCGCAGAAGGGUAAUAUUUAUGGGUGUAUUUUUGCUCACCACCAUUUAGAGUGGUGUAUGCUCACCACCAUAUUUAUCACCGUUAGAUGAAUUUGAAUUUUAAGAUUUGUGCUUAUCCACUACACGAAUCUCAAAAUUCAAACUCAUCUAACGGUAAUUAAUAAGAUGGUAAGCAUACACCAUACUAAAUGGUGGUGAGCAAAAAUGCUCCCAAUAUUUAUAGGGAAACCGCUAAUUACAAGUUUCUUAGAUUACCCCUCUGUUUUUCUUUAACGUGUUACACAAGGUUUCUUUGUUUCGUCUCCUUAUAUUGGUGGGAUUCCAACUUUGACGCAAACUAGGUCAAGGUAAAUCAAUCUAUUCCAAGAGAAUAUAAUGACCUCAAGACUG
RNAcentral lists this long non-coding RNA (456 nucleotides) under Malus domestica (apple). Its description in RNAcentral is "long non-coding RNA (MDOM_LNC011412)". Lineage: Eukaryota; Viridiplantae; Streptophyta; Magnoliopsida; Rosales; Rosaceae. The record is from RNAcentral.